RNAcentral lists this ribosomal RNA (548 nucleotides) under Clostridium botulinum C/D str. BKT2873. RNAcentral describes it as "bacterial SSU rRNA". It matches the Rfam family "Bacterial small subunit ribosomal RNA", at positions 197 to 763 of the family's 1533-position model. The record is from RNAcentral. Lineage: Bacteria; Bacillati; Bacillota; Clostridia; Eubacteriales; Clostridiaceae.
AUAAUCAAAGGAGCAAUCCGCUUUGAGAUGGACCCGCGGCGCAUUAGCUAGUUGGUGAGGUAACGGCUCACCAAGGCAACGAUGCGUAGCCGACCUGAGAGGGUGAUCGGCCACAUUGGAACUGAGACACGGUCCAGACUCCUACGGGAGGCAGCAGUGGGGAAUAUUGCGCAAUGGGGGAAACCCUGACGCAGCAACGCCGCGUGAGUGAUGAAGGUUUUCGGAUCGUAAAACUCUGUCUUUAGGGACGAUAAUGACGGUACCUAAGGAGGAAGCCACGGCUAACUACGUGCCAGCAGCCGCGGUAAUACGUAGGUGGCAAGCGUUGUCCGGAUUUACUGGGCGUAAAGAGUAUGUAGGUGGGUGCUUAAGUCAGAUGUGAAAUUCCCGGGCUCAACCUGGGAGCUGCAUUUGAAACUGGGCAUCUAGAGUGCAGGAGAGGAAAGUGGAAUUCCUAGUGUAGCGGUGAAAUGCGUAGAGAUUAGGAAGAACACCAGUGGCGAAGGCGACUUUCUGGACUGUAACUGACACUGAGAUACGAAAGCGUG